Long non-coding RNA from Drosophila busckii, 170 nucleotides. RefSeq lists it as uncharacterized. The record is from RefSeq and is a predicted model, not a curated record. Lineage: Eukaryota; Metazoa; Arthropoda; Insecta; Diptera; Drosophilidae. The transcript has 2 exons.
AUUUCAUAAAGAGUUAUUUAGUUGAACUUCUCUAAGUAAAUGGAAGAGAAUACAAAGUAAAUACUGAAUCUUUCCCAGGUACGUCAUAGCGUCUUCAGCGUAUUCGUGCAUGUGGCGUGGGCUUCCGAUAUAAGAUGAUGGGAGAAUUGUCAGACGUCCAAUAUUUUGAA